This 60-nucleotide transfer RNA is filed under the name Dipodomys ordii (Ord's kangaroo rat). It matches the Rfam family "tRNA", at positions 7 to 64 of the family's 71-position model. From Rfam's summary of the family: Transfer RNA (tRNA) molecules are approximately 80 nucleotides in length. Their secondary structure includes four short double-helical elements and three loops (D, anti-codon, and T loops). The record is from Rfam by way of RNAcentral. Lineage: Eukaryota; Metazoa; Chordata; Mammalia; Rodentia; Heteromyidae.
GGUGGCUCAGUGGUAGAGCGCUUGCCUUGCGUGCAUGAGGCCCUGAGUUCCUCAGCACCA